This 201-nucleotide long non-coding RNA is filed under the name Lathyrus oleraceus (garden pea). Its description in RNAcentral is "Pisum sativum (pea) long non-coding RNA (PSAT_LNC020251)". The record is from RNAcentral. Lineage: Eukaryota; Viridiplantae; Streptophyta; Magnoliopsida; Fabales; Fabaceae.
UAGGAGACUCAGGUCAUUGACCACCAUCACCCACCGCGGUAGAGGUCGCUUCCGGCGGCGAUGGAACACCAAAAUACAAAAAGACACCAUCACCAGGAUCAUGACGAUGAGCUUAAUCAGAAUUUGAGUUCAAUUUCUACAUAUCAAAGCUCUAAUGUCCAAACAGAGGAGGAAUCAUGAAGAACUCUAGGCUAUUCAAAG